CAGUAGCCGCGGUAAUACGGAGGGUGCAAGCGUUAAUCGGAAUUACUGGGCGUAAAGCGCACGCAGGCGGUCUGACAAGUCAGAUGUGAAAUCCCCGGGCUUAACCUGGGAACUGCAUUUGUGACUGUAUAGCUAGAGUACGGCAGAGGGGGAUGGAAUUCCGCGUGUAGCAGUGAAAUGCGUAGAUAUGCGGAGGAACACCGAUGGCGAAGGCAAUCCCCUGGGCCUGUACUGACGCUCAUGCACGAAAGCGUGGGGAGCAAACAGGAUUAGAUACCCCCGUAGUCCCUGUCUCUUAUAC
This 301-nucleotide ribosomal RNA is filed under the name uncultured bacterium. RNAcentral describes it as "partial 16S ribosomal RNA". It matches the Rfam family "Bacterial small subunit ribosomal RNA", at positions 509 to 807 of the family's 1533-position model. The record is from RNAcentral.